GGGCUCAUGGCGCAGUUGGUAGCGCGCCGGUUUUGCAAAUCGGAGGCCGGGGGUUCAAAUCCCCCUGAGUCCA
This 73-nucleotide transfer RNA is filed under the name archaeon CG10_big_fil_rev_8_21_14_0_10_43_11. RNAcentral describes it as "tRNA-Ala". It matches the Rfam family "tRNA". From Rfam's summary of the family: Transfer RNA (tRNA) molecules are approximately 80 nucleotides in length. The record is from RNAcentral.